UGAUUUACUUCACAAUUUAUCAAAAGUCCAAACCUUAAUUGUUCCAAAACUGUAAAUCAGACGAGCACGAUUGGAUAGCCCAAGUGGUGGGUUUAUCCUUUGUUGUCCUGGGACAAUCGGGUUCGACUCUGACUCAUCUGAGAAGUAUUUGAACAGAUAAUAAUUUGUAAGGCAUAUAAGUCUAUAUUGUCAAAAAAAAAAAAAACUGUAAAUCAGACUGAUAAUAUCCGCUUACAGGCAUGGAGACUCUAUGAAGAAGAAAGAUGUUUGGAGCUGCUUGAUGAGGCCGCGAUGGAUUCAUAUAACCAAUCUGAAGUUUUCCGAACU
This 327-nucleotide long non-coding RNA is filed under the name Daucus carota (carrot). RNAcentral's name for it is "long non-coding RNA (DCAR_LNC000887)". Lineage: Eukaryota; Viridiplantae; Streptophyta; Magnoliopsida; Apiales; Apiaceae. The record is from RNAcentral.